GAUGAACGCUGGCGGCGGGCCUAACACAUGCAAGUCGAGCGAAGAGAGGUGGCUUGCUCCUGUCUUCAGUGGCGGACGGGUGCGUGAUUCCUAGGAGUAUGCCUGGUGUUGGUGACUGAGGUCCGAAAGCGGGCGCUGAUACCGCAUACGUCCUGAGAUAGAAAGUCGGGGUUCUUCGGAGCUCACGGGAUCAGAUGACACUAGGUCGGAUUAGCUAGUGGGUGGGGUAAAGGCCUACCAAGGCGACGAUCCGUAACUGGUCUGAGAGGAUGAUCCGCCACACUGGAACUGAGACACGGUCCAGACUCCUACGGGAGGCAGCAGUGGGGAAUAUUGGGCAAUGGGCGAAAGCCUGAUGGAGCAAGGCCGCGUGUGUGAAGAAGGUCUUCGGAUGGUAAAGCCCUUUAAUUGGGGAGGAAGGGCAGUAUGUGAAUACCUUGAUGUUUUGACGGUACCAAAAGAGAAAGCAACGGCUAACUACGUG
This 484-nucleotide ribosomal RNA is filed under the name uncultured bacterium. RNAcentral's name for it is "partial 16S ribosomal RNA". It matches the Rfam family "Bacterial small subunit ribosomal RNA", at positions 28 to 507 of the family's 1533-position model. The record is from RNAcentral.